GGAGAGGUGGCUGAGUGGUUGAAAGCACCGGUUUCGAAAACCGGCAUGUCGAAAGGCAUCGAGGGUUCGAAUCCCUCCCUCUCCG
Molecule: transfer RNA, 85 nt
Filed under: Candidatus Kaiserbacteria bacterium
Lineage: Bacteria; Candidatus Kaiseribacteriota
Description: tRNA-Ser
Rfam family: tRNA
About the family: Transfer RNA (tRNA) molecules are approximately 80 nucleotides in length.
Source: RNAcentral